This 549-nucleotide ribosomal RNA is filed under the name uncultured bacterium. RNAcentral describes it as "bacterial SSU rRNA". It matches the Rfam family "Bacterial small subunit ribosomal RNA", at positions 355 to 896 of the family's 1533-position model. The record is from RNAcentral.
UAGGGAAUCUUCGGCAAUGGGGGCAACCCUGACCGAGCAACGCCGCGUGAGUGAAGAAGGUUUUCGGAUCGUAAAGCUCUGUUGUAAGUCAAGAACGAGUGUGAGAGUGGAAAGUUCACACUGUGACGGUAGCUUACCAGAAAGGGACGGCUAACUACGUGCCAGCAGCCGCGGUAAUACGUAGGUCCCGAGCGUUGUCCGGAUUUAUUGGGCGUAAAGCGAGCGCAGGCGGUUUGAUAAGUCUGAAGUUAAAGGCUGUGGCUCAACCAUAGUUCGCUUUGGAAACUGUCAAACUUGAGUGCAGAAGGGGAGAGUGGAAUUCCAUGUGUAGCGGUGAAAUGCGUAGAUAUAUGGAGGAACACCGGUGGCGAAAGCGGCUCUCUGGUCUGUAACUGACGCUGAGGCUCGAAAGCGUGGGGAGCGAACAGGAUUAGAUACCCUGGUAGUCCACGCCGUANNGAUGAGUGCUAGGUGUUGGAUCCUUUCCGGGAUUCAGUGCCGCAGCUAANGCAUUAAGCACUCCGCCUGGGGAGUACGACCGCAAGGUUG